Molecule: ribosomal RNA, 253 nt
Filed under: uncultured bacterium
Lineage: Bacteria
Description: partial 16S ribosomal RNA
Rfam family: Bacterial small subunit ribosomal RNA
Source: RNAcentral
UACGUAGGGUGCAAGCGUUGUCCGGAAUUAUUGGGCGUAAAGAGCUCGUAGGCGGUCUGUCGCGUCGAAUGUGAAAACCCGGGGCUCAACCCCGGGCCUGCAUUCGAUACGGGCAGACUAGAGUUCGGUAGGGGAGUCUGGAAUUCCUGGUGUAGCGGUGAAAUGCGCAGAUAUCAGGAGGAACACCGGUGGCGAAGGCGGUUCUCUGGGAAUGACCUGACGCUGAGGAGCGAAAGUGUGGGGAGCGAACAGG